ACAUCCUAACGGGAGGCAGCAGUGGGGAAUAUUGCACAAUGGGGGAAACCCUGAUGCAGCCAUGCCGCGUGUGUGAAGAAGGCCUUCGGGUUGUAAAGCACUUUUCAGUAGGGAGGAAGGUAGUGCUUAGUUAAUCACCUGCAUUAUUUGACGUUACCUACACGAAGAAGCACCGGCUAACUCCGUGCCAGCAGCCGCGGUAAUACGGAGGGUGCGAGCGUUAAUCGGAAUUACUGGGGCGUAAAGCGCAUGCAGGCGGCCUGUUAAGUCAGAUGUGAAAGCCCGGGGCUUAACCUCGGAAUUGCAUUUGAAACUGGCAGGCUAGAGUCUUGUAGAGGGGGGUAGAAUUUCAGGUGUAGCGGUGAAAUGCGUAGAGAUCUGAAGGAAUACCGGUGGCGAAGGCGGCCCCCUGGCACAGAUACUGACACUCAGAUGCGAAAGCGUGGGGAGCAAACAGGAUUAGAUACCCUGGUAGCUACGAGU
RNAcentral lists this ribosomal RNA (483 nucleotides) under uncultured bacterium. RNAcentral's name for it is "bacterial SSU rRNA". It matches the Rfam family "Bacterial small subunit ribosomal RNA", at positions 333 to 802 of the family's 1533-position model. The record is from RNAcentral.